AAAAAGAAAGAAAGGAAGGAAGGAAGGAAGGAAGGAAGGAAGGAAGGAAGGAAGGAAGGAAGGAAGAAAAAGAAAGAAAGAAAGAAAGAAAGAAAGAAAGAAAGAAAGAAAGAAAGAAAGAAAGAAAGAAAGAAAGAAAGAAAGAAAAAAAGAAAAAAAGAAAGAAAGAAAGAAAGAAAGAAAGAAAGAAAGAAAGAAAGAAAAAAGAAAGAAAGAACCUUAGGAAAGAAGGAAGAUUUGGGAAAUUAAUUCUGCUUAGGAAAGGCCUUCCAGAUGUGAUCGAUGUGUGGAUUUGUAUUGCUUGACUGUGCUUGCUUCUUAUAAGGGAGAGCUUUUGUGUGUGUGUAUGUGGGGGUGGGAGUCUGAAAGACUGAUAGUGUUAACAAAAAAAGAACAUGAGUGCUUAGAACAGAAUAGAAGGAAGUUCAGUGGGAGACAAAGAGGAUAGCUUUGAAACUCACAAGUCAAAUAAUAUUCAUGUAUUAUUGUUGUUUAUUUAUUUCCAACUCUCUGUGACCCCCUUUGAGGUUUUCUUGGCAAAGAUACUGGAGUGGUUUGCCAUUUCCUUCUCCAGUUCACUUUACAGAUGAGAAAACUGAUGCAAAAAGGGUUUAAGUGCCUUGUCCAGGGCCACAUAGCUAGGAAGUGUCUGGGGCUAAAUUUGAAGUCAGGUCUUCCUGUCUCCAGGCCCAGCACUCUAUCCAUUGUGCCACCUUACCACCAGAGGCUUGGCUAGGAAUUCGAGGCUGGCCCUACCUGUCCCUUUCUUCUUUCUGCCCCCUAUCAAACCUGUGCCUCAGCCAUAACCAGGCACUUCAGCCCAGGCUGGGGCAGUUGUACAUCCUCUCUUCCAUCAUGACUGCUGUUCUCUGGCUUCAUCUCACCACCGCUGAGGAUUCUGGGGAAUGGGCAUCCUUCUGCACCAGAAGGUGGGACUGACUGUCCUUGGGGCAACCUCACCUUCCCUGCAUUGAUUUUAUACAAGGUGAAGUGUCAGCAAGUUAUGGCUCUGUGCAGACUGCCUGCAACCAGCCUUGGCUUUCCUGGCCAGAUUCUGACCAUCCCCUACAAGCUCUCCCUAUUAUACCCGCCUGUGCCCUUGUCCUCCUCAGCCCCUUUCUUCUGGUU
RNAcentral lists this long non-coding RNA (1128 nucleotides) under Monodelphis domestica (gray short-tailed opossum). RNAcentral's name for it is "lncRNA (ENSMODG00000036656.1)". The record is from RNAcentral. Lineage: Eukaryota; Metazoa; Chordata; Mammalia; Didelphimorphia; Didelphidae.